UACGUAGGGUCCGAGCGUUGUCCGGAAUUACUGGGCGUAAAGAGCUCGUAGGUGGUUUGUCGCGUUGUUCGUGAAAACUCACAGCUCAACUGUGGGCGUGCGGGCGAUACGGGCAGACUAGAGUACUGCAGGGGAGACUGGAAUUCCUGGUGUAGCGGUGGAAUGCGCAGAUAUCAGGAGGAACACCGGUGGCGAAGGCGGCAUCCUGGACCGGCAUUGACGCUGAGGAGCGGAAAGCCAGGGGAGCAAACGG
Molecule: ribosomal RNA, 253 nt
Filed under: uncultured bacterium
Lineage: Bacteria
Description: partial 16S ribosomal RNA
Rfam family: Bacterial small subunit ribosomal RNA
Source: RNAcentral